This 356-nucleotide long non-coding RNA is filed under the name Helianthus annuus (common sunflower). Its description in RNAcentral is "sRNA HanXRQr2_Chr14g0645541". Lineage: Eukaryota; Viridiplantae; Streptophyta; Magnoliopsida; Asterales; Asteraceae. The record is from RNAcentral.
GGUGUGGAGAUUGCUAAUUUUUUUUACUUUUAGGAUUGCAUAAUCGUUGAUCCAUUACUCAAUUGGUUUUAUGUGAUUAAAGUCUCAGUUCGCAAACCAUCGUUGAAGCUAUUGAAGUUUUAGUUGAAGACGAUGAUGGUUGUAAUGGCUGGUUGAUAACAGAGGAUGUUAAAGUGGUCGGGCAAAUCAAUAUUCAUUAAAACAAGAUUUGAGUGGUGCAGCAGACUGAGGAUAUGAAAGUGUUUUGGUCAUGAUUUGAUGUGUAUACGUAUAUGUACAUUGUAGUAAUUUUAAUUGUUUGGAACAUGUUUGUUGUGUUUGUUGUUUGGUUUUGGGUGUUGAUUGGGACUAUAUAA